Molecule: ribosomal RNA, 254 nt
Filed under: uncultured bacterium
Lineage: Bacteria
Description: partial 16S ribosomal RNA
Rfam family: Bacterial small subunit ribosomal RNA
Source: RNAcentral
UACGUAGGGUGCGAGCGUUGUCCGGAAUUAUUGGGCGUAAAGAGCUCGUAGGCGGUUUGUUGCGUCGGCCGUGAAAACCUGCAGCUUAACUGUGGGCGUGCGGUCGAUACGGGCAUCACUGGAGUUCGGCAGGGGAGACUGGAAUUCCUGGUGUAGCGGUGAAAUGCGCAGAUAUCAGGAGGAACACCGGUGGCGAAGGCGGGUCUCUGGGCCGAUACUGACGCUGAGGAGCGAAAGCGUGGGGAGCGAACAGG